UACGUAGGGGGCAAGCGUUGUCCGGAAUUAUUGGGCGUAAAGAGCGCGUAGGCGGUCCGAUAAGUCGGCUGUGAAAGUCAGGGGCUCAACCCUUGAAAGCCGGCCGAUACUGUCGGGCUAGAGUCCGGAAGAGGCGAGUGGAAUUCCUGGUGUAGCGGUGAAAUGCGCAGAUAUCAGGAGGAACACCAAUGGCGAAGGCAGCUCGCUGGGACGGUACUGACGCUGAGACGCGAAAGCGUGGGGAGCGAACAGG
Molecule: ribosomal RNA, 253 nt
Filed under: uncultured bacterium
Lineage: Bacteria
Description: partial 16S ribosomal RNA
Rfam family: Bacterial small subunit ribosomal RNA
Source: RNAcentral